GCGCCCGUAGCUCAGCUGGAUAGAGCACGCGCCUUCUAAGCGUGUGGUCGCAGGUUCAAGUCCUGCCGGGCGCGCCA
This 77-nucleotide transfer RNA is filed under the name Dankookia rubra. RNAcentral's name for it is "tRNA-Arg". It matches the Rfam family "tRNA". Rfam says of the family: Transfer RNA (tRNA) molecules are approximately 80 nucleotides in length. Their secondary structure includes four short double-helical elements and three loops (D, anti-codon, and T loops). Lineage: Bacteria; Pseudomonadati; Pseudomonadota; Alphaproteobacteria; Acetobacterales; Roseomonadaceae. RNAcentral also lists the same sequence under 2 other names. The record is from RNAcentral.